Molecule: ribosomal RNA, 253 nt
Filed under: uncultured bacterium
Lineage: Bacteria
Description: partial 16S ribosomal RNA
Rfam family: Bacterial small subunit ribosomal RNA
Source: RNAcentral
UACGUAGGGUGCAAGCGUUGUCCGGAAUUAUUGGGCGUAAAGAGCUCGUAGGCGGUCUGUUGCGUCGGCUGUGAAAACCCGGGGCUCAACUCCGGGCCUGCAGCCGAUACGGGCAGACUAGAGUUCGGCAGGGGAGACUGGAAUUCCUGGUGUAGCGGUGAAAUGCGCAGAUAUCAGGAAGAACACCCGUGGCGAAGGCGGCUCUCUGGGACGGUACUGACGCUGAGACGCGAAAGCGUGGGGAGCGAACAGG